GAUGAACGCUGGCGGCGUGCCUAAUACAUGCAAGUCGAGCGAACAGACGAGGAGCUUGCUCCUCUGACGUUAGCGGCGGACGGGUGAGUAACACGUGGAUAACCUACCUAUAAGACUGGGAUAACUUCGGGAAACCGGAGCUAAUACCGGAUAAUAUAUUGAACCGCAUGGUUCAAUAGUGAAAGACGGUGUUUCUGUCACUUAUAGAUGGAUCCGCGCCGCAUUAGCUAGUUGGUAAGGUAACGGCUUACCAAGGCAACGAUGCGUAGCCGACCUGAGAGGGUGAUCGGCCACACUGGAACUGAGACACGGUCCAGACUCCUACGGGAGGCAGCAGUAGGGAAUCUUCCGCAAUGGGCGAAAGCCUGACGGAGCAACGCCGCGUGAGUGAUGAAGGUCUUCGGAUCGUAAAACUCUGUUAUUAGGGAAGAACAAAUGUGUAAGUAACUAUGCACGUCUUGACGGUACCUAAUCAGAAAGCCACGGCUAACUACGUG
RNAcentral lists this ribosomal RNA (497 nucleotides) under uncultured bacterium. RNAcentral's name for it is "partial 16S ribosomal RNA". It matches the Rfam family "Bacterial small subunit ribosomal RNA", at positions 28 to 507 of the family's 1533-position model. The record is from RNAcentral.